GACGAACGCUGGCGGCGUGCCUAAUACAUGCAAGUAGAACGCACAGUUUAUACCGUAGCUUGCUACACCAUAGACUGUGAGUUGCGAACGGGUGAGUAACGCGUAGGUAACCUGCCUGGUAGCGGGGGAUAACUAUUGGAAACGAUAGCUAAUACCGCAUAAUAUUGAUUAUUGCAUGAUAAUUAAUUGAAAGGUGCAAUUGCACCACUACCAGAUGGACCUGCGUUGUAUUAGCUAGUAGGUGAGGUAACGGCUCACCUAGGCGACGAUACAUAGCCGACCUGAGAGGGUGAUCGGCCACACUGGGACUGAGACACGGCCCAGACUCCUACGGGAGGCAGCAGUAGGGAAUCUUCGGCAAUGGACGAAAGUCUGACCGAGCAACGCCGCGCGAGUGAAGAAGGUUUUCGGAUCGUAAAGCUCUGUUGUAAGAGAAGAACGGGUGUGAGAGUGGAAAGUUCACACUGUGACGGUAUCUUACCAGAAAGGGACGGCUAACUACGUG
Molecule: ribosomal RNA, 505 nt
Filed under: uncultured bacterium
Lineage: Bacteria
Description: partial 16S ribosomal RNA
Rfam family: Bacterial small subunit ribosomal RNA
Source: RNAcentral